RNAcentral lists this ribosomal RNA (267 nucleotides) under Boophis aff. boehmei MV-2005. RNAcentral describes it as "partial 16S ribosomal RNA". The record is from RNAcentral. RNAcentral also lists the same sequence under 1 other name. Lineage: Eukaryota; Metazoa; Chordata; Amphibia; Anura; Mantellidae.
GGAGCUUUAAACCUGACAGCACCCGCUCAUUCUAUACCCCAUUAUUUGCCCGACCCCUGUCUGCUCAGUUUUAGGUUGGGGUGACCACGGAGUAUAAAAUAACCUCCAUGAAGAAGGGGAUAUUUCCCUUAUUAGAGAACCACACUUCCAAGAACUAAUAAAUUAAUUUUNAAUGACCCGAUACCCGAUAAUCGAUCAACGAACCAAGUUACCCUGGGGAUAACAGCGCAAUCCACCCUGAAAGCCCUUAUUAACAGGUGGGUUUAC